AACGAACGCUGGCGGCAUGCCUAACACAUGCAAGUCGAACGAGAUCUUCGGGUCUAGUGGCGCACGGGUGCGUAACGCGUGGGAAUCUGCCCUUUGGUUCGGAAUAACAGUUGGAAACGACUGCUAAUACCGGAUGAUGACGAAAGUCCAAAGAUUUAUCGCCAGAGGAUGAGCCCGCGUAGGAUUAGCUAGUUGGUGUGGUAAAGGCGCACUAAGGCGACGAUCCUUAGCUGGUCUGAGAGGAUGAUCAGCCAAACUGUGACGGGGACACGGACCAGACUGAUACGGGAGGCAGCAGUGGGGAAUAUUGGACAAUGGGCGAAAGCCUGAUCCAGCAAUGCCGCGUGGGUGAUGAAGGCCUUAGGGUUGUAAAGCUCUUUUACCCGGGAUGAUAAUGACAGUGCCGGGAGAAUAAGCUCCGGCUAACUCCGUGCCAGCCGCCGCGGUAA
RNAcentral lists this ribosomal RNA (449 nucleotides) under uncultured bacterium. RNAcentral's name for it is "partial 16S ribosomal RNA". It matches the Rfam family "Bacterial small subunit ribosomal RNA", at positions 29 to 523 of the family's 1533-position model. The record is from RNAcentral.